Molecule: ribosomal RNA, 1725 nt
Filed under: Pseudomonas sp. MF6772
Lineage: Bacteria; Pseudomonadati; Pseudomonadota; Gammaproteobacteria; Pseudomonadales; Pseudomonadaceae
Description: partial 23S ribosomal RNA
Rfam family: Bacterial large subunit ribosomal RNA
Source: RNAcentral
UGAUGCGGUAGAGGAGCGUUCUGUAAGCCUGUGAAGGUGAGUUGAGAAGCUUGCUGGAGGUAUCAGAAGUGCGAAUGCUGACAUGAGUAACGACAAUGGGUGUGAAAAACACCCACGCCGAAAGACCAAGGUUUCCUGCGCAACGUUAAUCGACGCAGGGUUAGUCGGUCCCUAAGGCGAGGCUGAAAAGCGUAGUCGAUGGAAAACAGGUUAAUAUUCCUGUACUUCUGGUUAUUGCGAUGGAGGGACGGAGAAGGCUAGGCCAGCUUGGCGUUGGUUGUCCAAGUUUAAGGUGGUAGGCUGGAAUCUUAGGUAAAUCCGGGAUUCUAAGGCCGAGAGCUGAUGACGAGUCAUCUUUUAGAUGACGAAGUGGUUGAUGCCAUGCUUCCAAGAAAAGCUUCUAAGCUUCAGGUAACCAGGAACCGUACCCCAAACCGACACAGGUGGUUGGGUAGAGAAUACCAAGGCGCUUGAGAGAACUCGGGUGAAGGAACUAGGCAAAAUGGCACCGUAACUUCGGGAGAAGGUGCGCCGGUGAGGGUGAAGGACUUGCUCCGUAAGCUCAUGCCGGUCGAAGAUACCAGGCCGCUGCGACUGUUUAUUAAAAACACAGCACUCUGCAAACACGAAAGUGGACGUAUAGGGUGUGACGCCUGCCCGGUGCCGGAAGGUUAAUUGAUGGGGUUAGCUAACGCGAAGCUCUUGAUCGAAGCCCCGGUAAACGGCGGCCGUAACUAUAACGGUCCUAAGGUAGCGAAAUUCCUUGUCGGGUAAGUUCCGACCUGCACGAAUGGCGUAACGAUGGCGGCGCUGUCUCCACCCGAGACUCAGUGAAAUUGAAAUCGCUGUGAAGAUGCAGUGUAUCCGCGGCUAGACGGAAAGACCCCGUGAACCUUUACUAUAGCUUUGCACUGGACUUUGAAUUUGCUUGUGUAGGAUAGGUGGGAGGCUUUGAAGCGUGGACGCCAGUUCGCGUGGAGCCAACCUUGAAAUACCACCCUGGCAACUUUGAGGUUCUAACUCAGGUCCGUUAUCCGGAUCGAGGACAGUGUAUGGUGGGUAGUUUGACUGGGGCGGUCUCCUCCUAAAGAGUAACGGAGGAGUACGAAGGUGCGCUCAGACCGGUCGGAAAUCGGUCGUAGAGUAUAAAGGCAAAAGCGCGCUUGACUGCGAGACAGACACGUCGAGCAGGUACGAAAGUAGGUCUUAGUGAUCCGGUGGUUCUGUAUGGAAGGGCCAUCGCUCAACGGAUAAAAGGUACUCCGGGGAUAACAGGCUGAUACCGCCCAAGAGUUCAUAUCGACGGCGGUGUUUGGCACCUCGAUGUCGGCUCAUCACAUCCUGGGGCUGAAGCCGGUCCCAAGGGUAUGGCUGUUCGCCAUUUAAAGUGGUACGCGAGCUGGGUUUAGAACGUCGUGAGACAGUUCGGUCCCUAUCUGCCGUGGACGUUUGAGAUUUGAGAGGGGCUGCUCCUAGUACGAGAGGACCGGAGUGGACGAACCUCUGGUGUUCCGGUUGUCACGCCAGUGGCAUUGCCGGGUAGCUAUGUUCGGAAUAGAUAACCGCUGAAAGCAUCUAAGCGGGAAACUAGCCUCAAGAUGAGAUCUCACUGGAACCUUGAGUUCCCUGAAGGGCCGUCGAAGACUACGACGUUGAUAGGUUGGGUGUGUAAGCGCUGUGAGGCGUUGAGCUAACCAAUACUAAUUGCCCGUGAGGCUUGACCAU